GUACUGAUAGCUUAGCUCAUAGCAAUAGUCUUGUAAACUAUAGGUCGGGGGUCGAACCCUCCUCAGUGCU
This 70-nucleotide transfer RNA is filed under the name Serrivomer sector (sawtooth eel). Its description in RNAcentral is "tRNA-Thr". It matches the Rfam family "tRNA". From Rfam's summary of the family: Transfer RNA (tRNA) molecules are approximately 80 nucleotides in length. The record is from RNAcentral. Lineage: Eukaryota; Metazoa; Chordata; Actinopteri; Anguilliformes; Serrivomeridae.